This is a non-coding RNA of Styela clava, 1078 nucleotides long. The record is from RefSeq and is a predicted model, not a curated record. Lineage: Eukaryota; Metazoa; Chordata; Ascidiacea; Stolidobranchia; Styelidae.
UCGGCGUUUUGCUGCAGUUUCACCAUAUCUGUUGGUCGAUCGGACUCAAGGGCUGUAGUUAUUAUAUAAUCAGUGGCUAAUAAAGGUGCUCAACGUGUCAAAAGUUAUUUUCCAGCGUGGCAUCUUUGGCUCAACAUAUUCACAAACAAGGCAGAGAUAUUAUUGUGGGGAGAAUUGUAGUAGAAGAUCAUUGCAGCCACUGUCCCUAUUUUACCAAAUGUGGUCAAAUACAUACAAUUGUUGCUGAAGAAAAGUCCUGAGUGAUCAAAUGUUAUCCUUCAGCUGUGAUGCAGUUAGCGUUAUUCCUCACACUCGAACAGAGUAUUCCAGGUUUACUAUACCCUCCAGUCUGUCAGGGAAUUAUUUGAUAGAUUCACAGCCUAAGAAAUGGAUAAAACGAAAGAUUUACUGGAUUCAAGUUCUAUCAAAAUGAAUGACGAUGAGGUCCAUAUUAUAAUCCAAUACAUUGCUGGGUUUAUUUUACAAAAAAUGCAAAAAUUAUGCUAAGACCCGGAAGACUGCAAAAGAAUUCAGUCAUUAUUUAAUCCCGAACCGGACUGUUUGAUAACUGACUCUAUGAUUGCAGUAAUGCAGGAAACAGAAUAUGGACGCCUAACUGUACCAUUGCCCAGUGUCCAAGCUGCUCAAAAUUGAAUUUAGAUAAAACUAUGCUCAUGAAAGUGUUACAGCCACAGUUUUUGAAAAUUUCAAUAUAGAAUCAUUUGGUAUCGCCCAAAACGAUACUAGCAUGCUGGACAUCUUGGAAAAAUAAGAUGCCAUCAAACAGAAUUUAUCCCUACGAAAACUGCUCAAAAUUAAAAAUAAAUGUAGAUGAAGAGCAUGAUCUCAUUUCACUUUAUUUUGCAAGGUAGUGCGUUUAGAUGUGAUUGCAGUUUUAUUUUUAUUACUUAAGCAGUAAAUUUUCAUGACAAUAGGCAAUGUAAGUUGCAUAAUAAAAAUACAGCAUAUCUAAAACUGUUUGAGUUGUCCCAGCGACAGAUGAUUUCCAGUUGAGUAUUUCUGGAAUGAAAAUUAUUUUCAAGCCAAAUCAGACGCUCGUCAAUGCUAUGAAAUGUCG